Molecule: long non-coding RNA, 262 nt
Organism: Oenanthe melanoleuca
Lineage: Eukaryota; Metazoa; Chordata; Aves; Passeriformes; Muscicapidae
Exons: 2
Source: RefSeq, a predicted model, not a curated record
CGCCUACUUGCAAGCUGGCCCCCCUCUCUCUGGCCCCUGUGCUCAGCUCGGCUUGGCUUGUUAGGAAUACCAUCCGGACAUCAAGAAACCCCCGGACGUCUGUCCGUGACAAGAAAUACGCGUUUUCUGCCCUUCCCGGCAUCGGCUGAGGCUGUACAUCCACUCGGACGGGUGAAGUUUUCUACAUCACCCGUGGCUGUUUUUUCUUGUGUUGGGGAUUGUUUUUCUGUGUGUUUACUAAAUAAACAAGUUUUUUCCACUU